AUUUUUUUUUAUUUUUGAAUAUCAAUUUGAAUGUUUGUGUGUGCAUAGAGUUGGUGCAUGUGGAUGCACAUAAUAUUUAAAUAAUCGUCAAUAAAUUUCGUUAAGCCCUGGUGGUAUUUCUUGAUUAAUCAUGUUCAAGUCUCCCAUCACUAGGAACCAUUUUAUUUAUUAGUUUUAUAUACUGUGCUGUGAUAUGUUUAUGAUAUUCAAUUUGUCGUUUGGAAA
Molecule: unclassified non-coding RNA, 225 nt
Filed under: Hevea brasiliensis (rubber tree)
Lineage: Eukaryota; Viridiplantae; Streptophyta; Magnoliopsida; Malpighiales; Euphorbiaceae
Source: RNAcentral